GAUGAAGGGGAUGACGUGUAUCUAUGUGAAUAUGAAUAUGACAUACGCUGGCACAGUUUCAAGCGGCUUGCUGAAAUU
This is a small nucleolar RNA of Cannabis sativa, 78 nucleotides long. RefSeq annotates it as small nucleolar RNA snoR28. The record is from RefSeq and is a predicted model, not a curated record. The transcript has a single exon. Lineage: Eukaryota; Viridiplantae; Streptophyta; Magnoliopsida; Rosales; Cannabaceae.